Molecule: ribosomal RNA, 301 nt
Filed under: uncultured bacterium
Lineage: Bacteria
Description: partial 16S ribosomal RNA
Rfam family: Bacterial small subunit ribosomal RNA
Source: RNAcentral
CAGUCGCCGCGGUAAUACGAAGGGUGCAAGCGUUAAUCGGAAUUACUGGGCGUAAAGCGUGCGCAGGCGGUUGUGUAAGACAGGUGUGAAAUCCCCGGGCUUAACCUGGGAACUGCGCUUGUGACUGCACAGCUAGAGUAUGGCAGAGGGGGGUGGAAUUCCACGUGUAGCAGUGAAAUGCGUAGAGAUGUGGAGGAACACCGAUGGCGAAGGCAGCCCCCUGGGCCAAUACUGACGCUCAUGCACGAAAGCGUGGGGAGCAAACAGGAUUAGAUACCCCGGUAGUCCCUGUCUCUUAUAA